Long non-coding RNA from Felis catus (domestic cat), 2513 nucleotides. RefSeq lists it as uncharacterized. The transcript is spliced from 4 exons. NCBI's taxonomy places the organism in Eukaryota, Metazoa, Chordata, Mammalia, Carnivora, Felidae. The record is from RefSeq and is a predicted model, not a curated record.
GAGAAUCCUCUUCCAUGUUCUGGCGGCUGCAGCUUCCUUGGCCUGUGGCCACAUCACUCCAGUCCCCGGGGCCAGCAUCAUCAAGUCUCUGCUCCGAUUUUAAAUCGUCUUCUCUGUGUGUGUCAAGUCACCCUCUGCUUCCCUCUCAUAAGGAUACGUGUGACUGCACUCGGGGCCCACCCGGUAACGUAAGACAACCGCCCCAUCUGAAGAUCCUUAACUUAAUACCCUCUGCAACGGCCCCCUUUUCGCCAUAGAAGGUAACAUUCACAGGUUCCGGAGAUUGAGACGUGAAUAUCUUUGGGGGGAUCGUUUUUUUUAGCUAACCAAAGUUGGCAAAUAUGCUAAUAAUUGGAGUUCUCAGAAAAAGAAAGGCCUCCUGGCUCUGCCCCCGGGAGGCUCCGCCCCUGGCCCUGCCCUCGGGAGGCUCCGCCCCUGGCCCUGCCCUCGGGAGGCUCCGCCCCUGGCCCUGCCCUCGGGAGCCCCCGCUCAUGCGCACCCUCCAAACAACGCAGCUUCCGGGAGAACCAGCUCCAAAGUACUUAGGCCAGGCUCAGAGGAAGGGGAGGUUUGGGAAGAAAGCAGCAAGGAACCCUAGUGAAGGCCCUAGGGCCAAAGAGCCUAAGGAUGGGUCUUCUAAGGAGAAGAAUUGAAAGGUAAAUCACUCGCAGCCACGGAAACUCCGAGGGGCAACGUCCAGUCUCAUUCGGAGGAUGGAAAGUAAAAUAACGGCUUCCUGAAAGAAGAUGGAAAGACAAGACUUGAAAACAGAUGCCCUUAGAUAAGGAAACACACAAGCAGGGGAAUUCUUUUACAUGAACAAAGCCGAAACGCCACGUUAUGAAGCCAUCGGUGCGGGACUUUGCAGAUGUGAUGAAGAAUCUUGAGAUGGGAAGAUCGUGCUGGGUUAUCCAGGUGGGCCAAAUGGCAUCACAAGAGUCUUUAUAAAAGGGAGUCAGAAGGGUAGAAAACACAGUAGGAGGAGAUGUGACACAGAAACAAGAGAUUGGAGUGAUUCAAGAAGGGCCACAAGCUCAAGAGUGCAAAUGGCCUCAGCUAAAAAAGGUAAGGAUCUAAAUUCUCUACUGAAGCCUCCAGAAAGAACAUACCCCUGUUGACAUUUUGAUUUUAGACUUCUAACCCCCAAAACCCAUAUUUGUGUUGUUUUAAGCCACUGAUUUUGUGCUAAUUAGUUACAGCAGCAACAGGAAACUAACACAGCCUGGAAUCAUGGGACGUCCUCCUUCCUCACCCUGCGUGGACCUGGGACCGGCACUUCUGGUAGACAGCCAGAACUGCAGCUCAUUGUCACCCAGCAUGUAACUUGAGUUCGAGCAAACUCCACUCCCUUGUGUGUAUCUUGCAUUUAUACUCUUUCCGUAAGUGAAGGUUUGAUUGAGUUGGUUCAUCACUAUCCAAUAGGCAGGAUUCCUAUCGCACGGUCAUGCUAAUGGCGCACACCCGGGGGUGUGGCUUCCCGCUUGUCCAAUCAGCUGUGUCCAGGGCAACAAGACUGCUGUCAAUCAACUCAAAGUGAGGAAAAUGUUACUGAGGAAAGAAUGGGUCUGGGCUAUUUGUGGGAGUCACUUGAGGACACCUCCCAGGUGACACAGAAGUUUAGAAAGCAAUCUUGAGGUUUUAAGAGAAGAAAGGCCCUUUCUGACCUCUUUACACAAACUUUAAUACGGCAGCUUGAAUUGUCAGAAGCUUUAGAGCUACAGACCUGGGGCUCCUUUCUAUGGGGUCCUUUGAUCCCGGCCCACCGUCCCCUAAUGCCAGCUCUGAUGGUAGUCCUCCGCAUGUCAAAGGUGACCAUUCCUCCUGCAUCACCCACCUUGACCUUGGCCCUGCAGAUUGGUUUGAAGGAGGGCACAGUCUCACUGCUUGCCCAGAAGCAGUAUUUUUAGGAGUUUAAAGAGAAGAAAAAUCUGUUGAAGGCAAUUUCAGGUUCUAGGCUUUAUAAAAAGAGAUGCAGUGAAAAUCUGGAAAUCAGGAUGGCUUAAGAAGUCAAAGACAUUUGAAUUACUGCCUUUGGGACUGGAAGAAACCCAAACAAUUAGAGGUGCAAAGGCACAGGAUUCACGGCUUGAUCGGUGUUGAUAUAUCCCUCAAAACAGGUCUCCAGGCCCACUGGAGCCUGACCUCAUUUAAAACUGCUGGAAAAAUGCAUGUAAUAAGCUCAGUCUGAAGGCUCCCUGACAAUUCAGUUUGGAUCAAGGCUCUUUCCUAUAAGGGUUUGUUGUAUUUAUUACCAUUAUUUUUUAGUUAUUUAUGUUUUCCUGUUAUAAUAUGCUACCUUUUAAAAAACAAUUAAGAAUCUCAGACCAGACUAUCUAGAAAUAAACUGGCGCUUUUCUAUGGUGUUUGUUAAAAGGCAAGGAUUUUGUUUUUUACUCAUUAUUCCGUCUUGUUAUGGAUUUUCAAUGACUUGUCUCAAAAUUGUUCUGUCACCUUAACCUGAAUCCUCAAUUAAGUUUCCCAGUCACUACUAUUAAAUAAAAAGCUUUAAAGUA